GACGAACGCUGGCGGCGUGCUUAACACAUGCAAGUCGAACGGAAAGGCCUCUUUCGGGGGGUACUCGAGUGGCGAACGGGUGAGUAACACGUGAGUAACCUGCCCUUGACUUUGGGAUAACUUCAGGAAACUGGGGCUAAUACCGGAUAGGAGCUCCUGCUGCAUGGUGGGGGUUGGAAAGUUUCGGCGGUUGGGGAUGGACUCGCGGCUUAUCAGCUUGUUGGUGGGGUAGUGGCUUACCAAGGCUUUGACGGGUAGCCGGCCUGAGAGGGUGACCGGCCACAUUGGGACUGAGAUACGGCCCAGACUCCUACGGGAGGCAGCAGUGGGGAAUAUUGCACAAUGGGUGGAAGCCUGAUGCAGCAACGCCGUGUGCGGGAUGACGGCCUUCGGGUUGGAAACCGCUUUCGCUCAUGACGAAGCUUUGUGUGACGGUAGUGGGUAAAGAAGCACCGGCUAACUACGUG
RNAcentral lists this ribosomal RNA (467 nucleotides) under uncultured bacterium. Its description in RNAcentral is "partial 16S ribosomal RNA". It matches the Rfam family "Bacterial small subunit ribosomal RNA", at positions 28 to 507 of the family's 1533-position model. The record is from RNAcentral.